ACUCAAAUGAAUUGACGGGGGCUCACACAAGCGGUGGAGCAUGUGGCUUAAUUCGAAGCAACGCGAAGAACCUUAUCCAAGGCUUGACAUGUAUGGAUUAGUUCGGUGAAAGCCGAAUGAGGCCCUUUGGGUACAACAUACACAGGUGCUGCAUGGCUGUCGUCAGCUCGUGCUGUGAAGUGUCGGGUUAAGUCCCUUAACGAGCGAAACCCCUGUCGCUAGUUGCUAACGCGUUAUGGCGAGGACUCUAGCGAGACUGCCGGUGUCAAACCGGAGGAAGGUGGGGAUGACGUCAAGUCCUCAUGGCCUUUAUGCCUUGGGCUGCACACGUGCUACAAUGGCGCGGUACAAAGCGAAGCGAGACCGCAAGGUGGAGCAAAUCGCAUAAAACGCGCCCCAGUUCAGAUUGAGGUCUGCAACCCGACCUCAUGAAGUUGGAAUCGCUAGUAAUCGGGGAUCAGCUACGCCCCGGUGAAUAUGUUCCUGAGCCUUGUACACACCGCCCGU
Molecule: ribosomal RNA, 507 nt
Filed under: uncultured bacterium
Lineage: Bacteria
Description: partial 16S ribosomal RNA
Rfam family: Bacterial small subunit ribosomal RNA
Source: RNAcentral